UCUCUCUCUCUCUCUCUCUCUCUGUCUGUGGAAGCUAGCGAGUUUUGAUCUACAAUGGCCAGGAAGAGCUUCGUCACCUUGAUUCUUUUCGCUCUUUUUGCCUGUUCCGCUUUAGCUCAGGCCCCUGGAGCCGCGCCCACCGCUUCACCGACGAAGUCACCUUCUGCUGCACCGGCUCCCAAGACUGCAGCUCCAACUGCUGCUCCCACUCAUCCUCCGACUCAAACACCACCUGCAUCGGCUCCUGCUCCUCCCACUACGAAUGUCCCAGUGGCAGCCCCAACAUUGACUCCUACCAGCUCGCCUCCUGCUCCUUCUGCUCCGACUCCCAGCUCAGGUCCAUCAGUGGCUGUUCCUCCGAAUGCAUUGACUCCUUCUGCUGAUACUCCGUCAGGGAAUCCUUCCAACGGUGCUG
This 415-nucleotide unclassified non-coding RNA is filed under the name Hevea brasiliensis (rubber tree). The record is from RNAcentral. Lineage: Eukaryota; Viridiplantae; Streptophyta; Magnoliopsida; Malpighiales; Euphorbiaceae.